CUGGCUCAGGAUGAACGCUGACAGAAUGCUUAACACAUGCAAGUCUACUUGAUCCUUCGGGUGAUGGUGGCGGACGGGUGAGUAACGCGUAAAGAACUUGCCCUGCAGUCUGGGACAACAUUUGGAAACGAAUGCUAAUACCGGAUAUUAUGUGAGUUUCGCAUGAAAUUCAUAUGAAAGCUAUAUGCGCUGCAGGAGAGCUUUGCGUCCUAUUAGCUAGUUGGUGAGGUAACGGCCCACCAAGGCAACGAUCGGUAGCCGGACUGAGAGGUUGAACGGCCACAUUGGGACUGAGACACGGCCCAGACUCCUACGGGAGGCAGCAGUGGGGAAUAUUGCACAAUGGGGGAAACCCUGAUGCAGCGACGCCGCGUGGAGGAAGAAGGUCUUCGGAUUGUAAACUCCUGUUGUUGAGGAAGAUAAUGACGGUACUCAACAAGGAAGUGACGGCUAACUACGUGCCAGCAGCCGCGGUAAAACGUAGGUCACAAGCGUUGUCCGGAAUUACUGGGUGUAAAGGGAGCGCAGGCGGGAAGACAAGUUGGAAGUGAAAUCUAUGGGCUCAACCCAUAAACUGCUUUCAAAACUGUUUUUCUUGAGUAGUGCAGAGGUAGGCGGAAUUCCCGGUGUAGCGGUGGAAUGCGUAGAUAUCGGGAGGAACACCAGUGGCGAAGGCGGCCUACUGGGCACCAACUGACGCUGAGGCUCGAAAGUGUGGGUAGCAAACAGGAUUAGAUACCCUGGUAGUCCACACCGUAAACGAUGAUUACUAGGUGUUGGAGGAUUGACCCCUUCAGUGCCGCAGUUAACACAAUAAGUAAUCCACCUGGGGAGUACGACCGCAAGGUUGAAACUCAAAGGAAUUGACGGGGGCCCGCACAAGCAGUGGAGUAUGUGGUUUAAUUCGACGCAACGCGAAGAACCUUACCAAGUCUUGACAUCCUGCGACGUGCAUAGAAAUAUGUAUUUCCUUCGGGACGCAGAGACAGGUGGUGCAUGGUUGUCGUCAGCUCGUGUCGUGAGAUGUUGGGUUAAGUCCCGCAACGAGCGCAACCCUUACUGUCAGUUACUACGCAAGAGGACUCUGGCAGGACUGCCGUUGACAAAACGGAGGAAGGUGGGGAUGACGUCAAAUCAUCAUGCCCUUUAUGACUUGGGCUACACACGUACUACAAUGGCGUUAAACAAAGAGAAGCAAGACCGCGAGGUGGAGCAAAACUCAGAAACAACGUCCCAGUUCGGACUGCAGGCUGCAACUCGCCUGCACGAAGUCGGAAUUGCUAGUAAUCGUGGAUCAGCAUGCCACGGUGAAUACGUUCCCGGGCCUUGCACUCACCGCCCGUA
RNAcentral lists this ribosomal RNA (1344 nucleotides) under uncultured bacterium. RNAcentral describes it as "bacterial SSU rRNA". It matches the Rfam family "Bacterial small subunit ribosomal RNA". The record is from RNAcentral.